UAAACUGUCACUAAAGGGCCCUAUACCGACGAAACUGUCGAUAUAGGUGUUCUUGGGCUGUUCUUGAGGAAACAAAGAACAUUAAUCAGUCGCUAAGGUGCUAAGUUUGACCAUAAUUAAAUUAGUGUUGUUAAUGAUUUCUGGGCUUGCUUUUUCUCUAAUGUUGUAGUAUUAAUGACACACUACAAAUUAAUUAAUUUUCAUGGCCAAAACAUAACAAUCCUGUGAGAUCUAAGAUGCAGAAAUCGUUGUCAGACCUGUUCUUGAGUUUCCGGGCUGCCCAAAAACUCAAGCAGGGUUGAGGUACCUACUUUGGGCCAUUAUAGAUUGAGUCUUGUGUUUGCUUUGUGUGAUCUAGAAGUUCCAACAUAUAGAAGGGAUGUCAGACUACAAUUCUAUAUCAUCAAUCGAGUCUAACAACAACAUAUAUAAGAAAUCAUGGCUGGUCAAAGUACCUGUCAGGUACGUGUUCAUGAACAAUCUGGGUUUUCCAGAUUGUUCUUCAGACAGAUCGGUUAACUCAGUUUGACUAUGAUUAAUUUCUAUUAUGUUCAUGAUCUGGGUAAUAUAAAAGUAUGGGUGUGUAGAACGCAUGUCAGGCUACAAGAUUAAACCACUAACAUGGCCAUUAACCUUACCAGUAGCAAUAUCAGAGGCCUUAAAGAUGUUGUCAGAGCUACCUGAAAAAAUCUGGGUUUUCCAGAAAUGCAACAAAACAGACGGUCAACUCUAGUUUGACCUUCAUUAUCUUUCACUAUGGUUAUGAUCUAAAUGAUCUAAUGACUUGAUUGUGUCGUAGUCAUGUCAUACUACAACAUCAAAACAACAACAUACCAUAUCAACUUAAACACAGCAAGAUAUAUGGCUUGGAAAACCUUGUCAGAAUUUCUGGGUUUCUGGAAAUUUUCUAGGUUGCCCAGAAAAUCAUUCCGUGAUCGGUCAACUAGGUUUGACCGUUAAUAACUCAAGAUCUAGACAUGAUUUGGGCUUGAUUCAAGUUCCAGAUCAAAGCCCUUAC
RNAcentral lists this long non-coding RNA (1018 nucleotides) under Panax ginseng (ginseng). RNAcentral's name for it is "long non-coding RNA (PGIN_LNC014675)". Lineage: Eukaryota; Viridiplantae; Streptophyta; Magnoliopsida; Apiales; Araliaceae. The record is from RNAcentral.